GAACUCAGUAGUGAUUAGAGUUUGAUCCGCGUUCAGGAUGUACGCUGGCGAUCGCCCUAACACAUGCAAGUCUAUAGAAGUAUAGGUACUUAGUGGCGUACGGGUGAGUAACACGUGAGAACCUGCCCUCUGGAGCGAGACACCCGUUAGAAACGACGGCUAAUAAACUAUACGCCUUCGGUGCAUAGCUUUUGCGCCAGAGGAGGGGCUCGCGGUCGAUUAGCUAGUUGGUGGGUCAACGGCCUUCCAAGGCAUCGAUCGAUAGAAGGUCGGAGAGGAAGAGCAGGCACACUGGGACUGAGACACGGCCCAGACUCCUACGGGAGGCACCAGUGGGGAAUUUUCCCCAAUGGGCGCAAGCCUGACGUAGCCAGACCGCGUCCGGGAAGACGGCCCUUGGGUUGUAAUCCGCUUUUCUCAGGGAAGAAGUCAGUGACGGUACCUGAGGAAUCAGCCUCGGCUAACUCCGUGCCAGCAUCCUCGGUAAUACGGAGGAGGCAAGCGUUAUCCGGAAUUAUUGGGCGUAAAGCGUUCGCAGGCGGCUUGGCAAGUCUGCUGUCAAAGCCCGCGGCUCAACCGCGGAUCGCCAGUGGAAACUGUCAGGCUAGAGUGCGGUAGGGGUAGGGGGAAUUCCCAGUGUAGCGGUGAAAUGCGUAGAUAUUGGGAAGAACACCAGUGGCGAAAGCGCCCUACUGGGCCGCAACUGACGCUCAGGGACGAAAGCUAGGGGAGCGAAAGGGAUUAGAUACCCCUGUAGUCCUAGCCGUAAACGAUGA
RNAcentral lists this ribosomal RNA (776 nucleotides) under uncultured Synechococcus sp. RNAcentral describes it as "bacterial SSU rRNA". It matches the Rfam family "Bacterial small subunit ribosomal RNA", at positions 1 to 812 of the family's 1533-position model. The record is from RNAcentral. Lineage: Bacteria; Bacillati; Cyanobacteriota; Cyanophyceae; Synechococcales; Synechococcaceae.